RNAcentral lists this transfer RNA (82 nucleotides) under Bellilinea caldifistulae. It matches the Rfam family "tRNA". Rfam says of the family: Transfer RNA (tRNA) molecules are approximately 80 nucleotides in length. The record is from Rfam by way of RNAcentral. Lineage: Bacteria; Bacillati; Chloroflexota; Anaerolineae; Anaerolineales; Anaerolineaceae. RNAcentral also lists the same sequence under 3 other names.
GGGGAAGUGCUGGAACUGGCAGACAGGCAUGACUUAGGAUCAUGUGCCGAAAGGCGUGCGGGUUCAAGUCCCGCCUUCCCCA